Molecule: ribosomal RNA, 661 nt
Filed under: Salmonella enterica subsp. enterica serovar Hadar
Lineage: Bacteria; Pseudomonadati; Pseudomonadota; Gammaproteobacteria; Enterobacterales; Enterobacteriaceae
Description: partial 23S ribosomal RNA
Rfam family: Bacterial large subunit ribosomal RNA
Source: RNAcentral
AGACCCGAAACCCGGUGAUCUAGCCAUGGGCAGGUUGAAGGUUGGGUAACACUAACUGGAGGACCGAACCGACUAAUGUUGAAAAAUUAGCGGAUGACCUGUGGCUGGGGGUGAAAGGCCAAUCAAACCGGGAGAUAGCUGGUUCUCCCCGAAAGCUAUUUAGGUAGCGCCUCGUGAAUUCAUCUCCGGGGGUAGAGCACUGUUUCGGCUAGGGGGCCAUCCCGGCUUACCAACCCGAUGCAAACUGCGAAUACCGGAGAAUGUUAUCACGGGAGACACACGGCGGGUGCUAACGUCCGUCGUGAAGAGGGAAACAACCCAGACCGCCAGCUAAGGUCCCAAAGUCAUGGUUAAGUGGGAAACGAUGUGGGAAGGCCCAGACAGCCAGGAUGUUGGCUUAGAAGCAGCCAUCAUUUAAAGAAAGCGUAAUAGCUCACUGGUCGAGUCGGCCUGCGCGGAAGAUGUAACGGGGCUAAACCAUGCACCGAAGCUGCGGCAGCGAACGUAUCACCCAAGACAACUUUGCGGAGUUGACGAUUGACGGAGCGAAGCGACGUCAAAGCGUUCAUUAAAGUCGAGUUGGCUUAGGGAUACGUUCGUUGGGUAGGGGAGCGUUCUGUAAGCCUGUGAAGGUGGCCUGUGAGGGUUGCUGGAGGUAUCA